AUUCAGCUGACGAGUCCCGCAUAGGACGAAAUGUGCAUCCCAGAU
Molecule: non-coding RNA, 45 nt
Filed under: Trichobilharzia regenti
Lineage: Eukaryota; Metazoa; Platyhelminthes; Trematoda; Strigeidida; Schistosomatidae
Source: RNAcentral